This 74-nucleotide transfer RNA is filed under the name Danionella translucida. It matches the Rfam family "tRNA". From Rfam's summary of the family: Transfer RNA (tRNA) molecules are approximately 80 nucleotides in length. Lineage: Eukaryota; Metazoa; Chordata; Actinopteri; Cypriniformes; Danionidae. The record is from Rfam by way of RNAcentral. RNAcentral also lists the same sequence under 1 other name.
GGCACCGUGGCUUAGUAGGUUAAAGUCCCUGUCUCAUAAACAUUAGAUCCUGGCUUCAAAUCCCAGCAGUGCCU